CAUGCAAGUCGAGCGGAAACGACAMYAWYRAWYCUUCGGRKGMKUURWUGGGCGUCGAGCGGCGGACGGGUGAGUAAUGCCUAGGAAAUUGCCUUGAUGUGGGGGAUAACCAUUGGAAACGAUGGCUAAUACCGCAUAAUGCCUACGGGCCAAAGAGGGGGAUCUUCGGACCUCUCGCGUCAAGAUAUGCCUAGGUGGGAUUAGCUAGUUGGUGAGGUAAUGGCUCACCAAGGCGACGAUCCCUAGCUGGUCUGAGAGGAUGAUCAGCCACACUGGAACUGAGACACGGUCCAGACUCCUACGGGAGGCAGCAGUGGGGAAUAUUGCACAAUGGGCGAAAGCCUGAUGCAGCCAUGCCGCGUGUAUGAAGAAGGCCUUCGGGUUGUAAAGUACUUUCAGUUGUGAGGAAGGGKGURWMGUUAAUAGCUGYRYMUCUUGACGU
Molecule: ribosomal RNA, 442 nt
Filed under: Vibrio splendidus
Lineage: Bacteria; Pseudomonadati; Pseudomonadota; Gammaproteobacteria; Vibrionales; Vibrionaceae
Description: partial 16S ribosomal RNA
Rfam family: Bacterial small subunit ribosomal RNA
Source: RNAcentral